Molecule: transfer RNA, 71 nt
Filed under: [Clostridium] aminophilum
Lineage: Bacteria; Bacillati; Bacillota; Clostridia; Lachnospirales; Lachnospiraceae
Also listed under: 4 other names
Description: Clostridium aminophilum tRNA
Rfam family: tRNA
About the family: Transfer RNA (tRNA) molecules are approximately 80 nucleotides in length.
Source: Rfam by way of RNAcentral
GCAGGUGUAGUUCAGUGGUAGAACACUAGCCUUCCAAGCUAGAUAUGUGGGUUCGAUUCCCAUCACCUGCU